AAUGAACCAAGAUAGCAAUGGUAGACGUUUAGUCAAUUCUUAAUGACUAAGCUAGCUGCUUUCAUAACAUUGAAAUGACUUGGGAUAAUUGUAUAGUACGAUUAAACAGUGAUUCUACGGGAAGUUUUUAUACUGGUGACAUAGUUACCGGAACCGUGAUAUUAGAAUUUGACCAAGAACAAAAAAUUGAAAGAAUCGAUUUACAUGUUAUAGGUAUAAGCAAAGCACAAUGGACCAGAUCCAUGCCCACUAUGCCAUAUAUUAAAAUUUACUCAGAAAAGAAAAAAAUAUUAAGCAUUAGCAUUUGUGACAUUUUUAGUGAAAUAAUUAGUGGUAAAAAGAUUAGACCGGGUAUCUACACUUACCCUUUCCACUUCGCUCUCCCCUUAGAUUUACCAUCUAGUUUCGAAAGCAAGAUUGCUAAAGUGCACUAUUGUAUUAAAAUUAAAAGCAAACCUGCGGUCAAAGUAAGAAAGAACGUUCCUCUGCGAAUUCUGGAAAAUGUCAACUUGAAUCAUUUGGAGGAAAUGAUGAUAACAUCGAUCCACGACUUCGUAAAAGCAUUUAGGACUUCAGGAAAAUUCUCGGUUUCUGUGAAAACCUAUAGGGCAUUCGCAUCCAAACAGACUGUCCCAUUUGAGAUCAUAUUAAACAAUAGUAGAAAAGUAAAAAUUAGUAAAUUAACAGUUGCAUUAAUACAGGUAAAACCAACAUUUAAAUUUUUUAAAACAAUCCGUUACAAUCUAGACCAGCGCUUCCCAACCUUUUCUAGGCACCUCCCCACUGUAACAUUUCUAAAAUUUUUAAUCCCCCCAUACAUAAUUUUCAACAUUAAAAAAAUGGUUUGUUCAUUUAAGAAAUAUAAAUGAUACGCUUUAGGAAGAAAUCAUUAUGAGAUUGUUAUCAAAACACAGUGAGUAAUAUCGGUACACAGUAAUGACAGUAUCAGUCAAACAUAGUGAGUAAUCAAAUUGCCCCCUUGUGGGGCGUGGGGCCCACGUUGGGAAACACCGAUCUAGAGCAUUCGCCGAUGUUUAAAUUCUGGAGAAAAUGUUCAACAAAAAAGGUAAAAGUAAAAUUUCGAUUUCAUUUUUCCUUGAUUGGAAGCAUACCAGUGACAGUGGCAACAGUGCCUGUGAUACACCAUGAUUUUUGAUAUAAAGAAUCCGUACCAAUGUAAUUUAUUUUAAUAAAGAAUGAAAGAAA
Bombyx mori (domestic silkworm) is the source of this 1206-nucleotide RNA transcript. It is a transcript of the gene named arrestin domain-containing protein 2, with no coding region annotated. The transcript is spliced from 5 exons. The record is from RefSeq and is a predicted model, not a curated record. NCBI's taxonomy places the organism in Eukaryota, Metazoa, Arthropoda, Insecta, Lepidoptera, Bombycidae.